Amphimedon queenslandica is the source of this 182-nucleotide long non-coding RNA. RefSeq lists it as uncharacterized. NCBI's taxonomy places the organism in Eukaryota, Metazoa, Porifera, Demospongiae, Haplosclerida, Niphatidae. The record is from RefSeq and is a predicted model, not a curated record. The transcript has 2 exons.
GUUGUUGUUGUUGCUUCAGGUUACUGACUUGGAAAUGGAGUUGGAGACUGAAACCAAAAGCAGGAGUGACGCCCAGAGGAAUUUUAAGAGAGUGAUCGUUGCUAUAAGGAAGCUGUAUCCCAGCGUCUCCAAGAUCAAGUCAAUUCUCUCAAUGCCAAGGACAGGAACCUUCGCCGUGACAA